RNAcentral lists this long non-coding RNA (312 nucleotides) under Fukomys damarensis (Damara mole-rat). Its description in RNAcentral is "lncRNA (ENSFDAG00000025512.1)". Lineage: Eukaryota; Metazoa; Chordata; Mammalia; Rodentia; Bathyergidae. The record is from RNAcentral.
CCUCCAUGAGGUUGAGGGUGCCGAGAGACUUUAUCAUUAGCAGCGUCUGUGCCUCUGCUGGACUCCAGGUUCGCAAUCUCCUUCAUCUGCACAAGGCGAACAUCUAGAAAUCGUGGGGAUGGUGUCUCCCAUACACGGCGAGGAAUGAGUGAACUGAGAACUUUCGGAACAACAUCUCCAGUGCUUCACACAGUGUGGAGGAGUGAUCAUUACUACUAUCUGCGACCAGGUCGUCUGCCAGCCCAGUGAAGGUAUUAAAUGCUAAUAAUCCAGCCAAGUUUCUAAGAAGGGAAAAAUAAAAUGUAAUAAUAU